RNAcentral lists this ribosomal RNA (506 nucleotides) under uncultured bacterium. RNAcentral's name for it is "bacterial SSU rRNA". It matches the Rfam family "Bacterial small subunit ribosomal RNA", at positions 28 to 521 of the family's 1533-position model. The record is from RNAcentral.
GAUGAACGCUAGCUACAGGCUUAACACAUGCAAGUCGAGGGGAAACGACAUCGAAAGCUUGCUUUUGGUGGGCGUCGACCGGCGCACGGGUGAGUAACGCGUAUCCAACCUGCCCACCACUUGGGGAUAACCUUGCGAAAGUAAGACUAAUACCCAAUGAUAUCCCACGAAGGCAUCCGAAUGGGAUUAAAGAUUUAUCGGUGAUGGAUGGGGAUGCGUCUGAUUAGCUUGUUGGCGGGGUAACGGCCCACCAAGGCAACGAUCAGUAGGGGUUCUGAGAGGAAGGUCCCCCACAUUGGAACUGAGACACGGUCCAAACUCCUACGGGAGGCAGCAGUGAGGAAUAUUGGUCAAUGGGCGCAAGCCUGAACCAGCCAAGUCGCGUGAAGGAAGACGGCCCUAUGGGUUGUAAACUUCUUUAGGGUGGGAACAAAGGACGCCACGCGUGGCGAGAUGAGUGUACUACCAGAAUAAGCAUCGGCUAACUCCGUGCCAGCAGCCGCGGU